UACCAGCCCCUGAGUGGUAAGGACGAUUAUUUGGCUUAAAGCGUCCGUAGCCGGCUUGGUGAGUCUCUUGUUAAAUCCAAUGAUUCAAUCAUUGAACUGCAAGAGAUACUACUAUGCUAGAGGACGGGAGAGGUCGACGGUAGUCCAAGGGUAGGGGUGAAAUCCUAUAAUCCUUGGAGGACCACCAGUGGCGAAGGCGGUCGACUAGAACGUGCCUGACGGUGAGGGACGAAAGCUGGGGGAGCGAACCGGAUUAGAUACCCGGGUAGUCCCAGCUGUAAACGAUGCGGGCUAGGUGUAGGGGCAGCUACGAGCUGCUCCUGUGCCGCAGAGAAAUUGUAAGCCCGCCGCCUGGGGAUACGAUCGCAAGAUUGAAACUUAAGGAAUUGGCGGGGGGCACCACGAAGGGUGAAGGCUGCGGUUU
This 424-nucleotide ribosomal RNA is filed under the name uncultured archaeon. RNAcentral's name for it is "bacterial SSU rRNA". It matches the Rfam family "Archaeal small subunit ribosomal RNA", at positions 474 to 903 of the family's 1478-position model. The record is from RNAcentral.